Hordeum vulgare subsp. vulgare (domesticated barley) is the source of this 136-nucleotide non-coding RNA. The record is from Rfam. Lineage: Eukaryota; Viridiplantae; Streptophyta; Magnoliopsida; Poales; Poaceae.
UAAAUACUCCCUUCGUUCCAAAAUUCUUGCCUUAGAUUUGUCUAGAUAUGAAUGUACCUAGUCACAUUUUAGUAUUUAGAUUCACCCAUUUCUUAACAAACCUAAGACAAGAAUUUUGGGGCGGAGGGAGUAACAG